GCGGAUGUAGCCAAGUGGAUCAAGGCAGU
Molecule: transfer RNA, 29 nt
Filed under: Morus alba (white mulberry)
Lineage: Eukaryota; Viridiplantae; Streptophyta; Magnoliopsida; Rosales; Moraceae
Also listed under: 288 other names
Description: tRNA-His
Source: RNAcentral